UACGUAGGGGGCAAGCGUUGUCCGGAUUUAUUGGGCGUAAAGAGCGUGUAGGCGGCCAUGCAGGUCCGUUGUGAAAACUCGAGGCUCAACCUCGAGACGCCCGAUGGAAACCGCAUGGCUAGAGUCCGGAAGAGGAGAGUGGAAUUCCUGGUGUAGCGGUGAAAUGCGCAGAUAUCAGGAAGAACACCCGUGGCUAAGGCGGCUCUCUAGUACGGUACUGACGCUGAGACGCGAAAGCGUGGGGAGCGAACAGG
This 254-nucleotide ribosomal RNA is filed under the name uncultured bacterium. Its description in RNAcentral is "partial 16S ribosomal RNA". It matches the Rfam family "Bacterial small subunit ribosomal RNA", at positions 524 to 776 of the family's 1533-position model. The record is from RNAcentral.